This 354-nucleotide ribosomal RNA is filed under the name Lepanus sp. NQ4. RNAcentral's name for it is "SSU rRNA". It matches the Rfam family "Eukaryotic small subunit ribosomal RNA", at positions 28 to 364 of the family's 1831-position model. The record is from RNAcentral. Lineage: Eukaryota; Metazoa; Arthropoda; Insecta; Coleoptera; Scarabaeidae.
AUGCUUGUCUCAAGAUUAAGCCAUGCAUGUCUCAGUACAAGCCAAAUUAAGGUGAAACCGCGAAAGGCUCAUUAAAUCAGUUAUGGUUCCUUAGAUCGUACCCACAUUUACUUGGAUAACUGUGGUAAUUCUAGAGCUAAUACAUGCAAACAGAGCUCCGACCGGAGACGGAAGGAGCGCUUUUAUUAGAUCAAAACCAAUCGGUGGCGGGUCUCCCGUCACCGUACACCUUGGUGACUCUGAAUAACUUAUUGCUGAUCGCACGGUCUCGCACCGGCGACGCAUCUUUCAAAUGUCUGCCUUAUCAACUGUCGAUGGUAGGUUCUGCGCCUACCAUGGUUGUAACGGGUAACG